GUCAUCCAGCCCUUCACAAAGCCAUCAGAUGCCAUAAUCAAUAGCUCAAUGUCAAAAGAAAAUUCAAGAUUCUGAUCUUUCUAUUUAUCCAUCUCUAUAAUAAUGACUCAAUUUGUUAAGAGUUUAAAAAUUACACCUACAAAUUAAAGUACUGUAUAAGACCCAAGGUCAGCUUUUUAAAUCAACAUUUCUUGCCAUUUAAAUUAUACAAUUAGGAUGACAUGUUCUACAGUAGUGUUUGAAAAUAGCCAAAAAUUGGAUUCCUUAAUUUAAACUUAAUACAAAGAUUAGGGAACAUAUACUAAAAGAAAAAAAAAAACACUUAUUAGCAGUGAAGACACCCUGAAUAAUGUUACAGAAACUAAGUCAUACACACAUUUGUCUUCACCACUGCCACAUAUCUGUUCAUAACAAUGUCAUUACUGCACUUGAGGACAAAAAUGUAUGGGUCUCUAAGGAGACAAAAGUGAUAUAUAAAUAUAUAUGUUCAGAUACAUGUUCCUUUGUGAAAGCAAUACUGUACAGUUGGAUAAAUCCUAUCAAUAAAACUGAUAGAUUGCAAGAUAUAGCAAUCUUUGUUUUCUAGAAUAUGAUAUAAAUAAUACACAAAUGUUUAAUGACGUGAUGUCAAAAUUGAGUCAUGAGAAGUCUCAAGGAUGCAGAUUAAAUUGACCAUCUGUACAGCUUGCCAUGAAUUAAGUCAUUCAUCGUUUUUCAUGAAGAACUGUUCAAGUAUUAAUGAGCCAGGGCUAUAAAAGUUUUCCAAACCAAUGGAUGACAAAUGCAAAGCAUAUUUUUUUAAUAUUUAGAAAUAAGACAAUUUUGAACCUAUCUCCACUUCUGUGAUGUCCUUAAUUAGCC
Molecule: long non-coding RNA, 861 nt
Filed under: Marmota monax (woodchuck)
Lineage: Eukaryota; Metazoa; Chordata; Mammalia; Rodentia; Sciuridae
Source: RNAcentral